GAAAAGCCUGAAUGUCCCCUUUGUCGUUCUCCCGUAACACAUUCAAGCUUGGUUUGUCUGUAUCAUUCAGAUUUUUAGUCACGGCUAUUGCCAAAAGAUAUCUACAAAAUAAAUCAUGAAGCACAGGUCUGUUGUGUCAAGAAAAGAUUCAAUAGUCUACUUGACGACGAGAUCCUGUUUUCUUUUCUGUUGCUCACACAUACAGCUCUGGAAGUGCUGUUGAGGUAAACUGGUGGUUGUGAGCCGUGUAAGUAAGGAGAGUUUUGCAACUAAUUUACCACGAGUCGAUGAGAAACUUAGGCGGAUCAUUUUAUCGAAAGCAAGCACGUAACAACUUUACUUGCUUUACACACUGAACAACAAUCAUUAGAUUUUCCUUCACAGGAAUGGAUCAAUUACUGUUAGGUAUGAUCGGUACAUGUGAUGUAAUACAAGAUUUUGCUUGGUAUAUUUUUUCCAGC
RNAcentral lists this unclassified non-coding RNA (461 nucleotides) under Hevea brasiliensis (rubber tree). Lineage: Eukaryota; Viridiplantae; Streptophyta; Magnoliopsida; Malpighiales; Euphorbiaceae. The record is from RNAcentral.